Vombatus ursinus (common wombat) is the source of this 641-nucleotide long non-coding RNA. RefSeq lists it as uncharacterized. NCBI's taxonomy places the organism in Eukaryota, Metazoa, Chordata, Mammalia, Diprotodontia, Vombatidae. The record is from RefSeq and is a predicted model, not a curated record. The transcript has 4 exons.
AGGGCUCUUAAGUAAUUUGCUUCACUUAUCAUUUCCCACCCGGAUGCUUUCUUGAUCUCCAGAAACUCAUCAUUCUACAAGAAGAAAUCAACUGAAACUCUCACCUCUUCAGAUCAUUUCCCUCCCUAGCCACCAGACUUCAGCACAGGAGAUACCCAGCCCCCUGGGAUUGCCUCUCAAUUACACUGUACGUAUCUUGUGUAUACAUAUGGAACACCGUCCUGGCCAAUGAGGACUCAGUCCUGGAAGCAUGAGCUCUCAAGUGAACCUGCUUUGGAAAAUGCCUGAUGAUAUGGCAUGGAGAGGCCCUGAUCUCCAUUUCAGAUGUCCUUUGGGUGACCCCAGGAUCUCUUUGGAGAUUAGGCCUGGCUAUGUUAAAAGGAAGAAAAUACAAAUGCCACCAAGAAAGGUAAUCACAACCUUUAUUUAAAACAUGAAAACGAACCAAAGAUGAGAAGAUGACUGUGAUUAGGAGCGGCCCUGAUGAAUUCCCUGAUGCAUCGUCUUUCUUCCCACCCACAAUUUGAAGAGGCUCUACCAAAAAGAAGACAAAGCUGUUAGACAAAUCCCUGGAGGCAUUCCCUUUUUAAAAAUGUUUUUUAAAUUUUUUCCAAUUACAUAUAAAAAAACAAUUUUUAUCA